RNAcentral lists this long non-coding RNA (18717 nucleotides) under Gossypium raimondii (Peruvian cotton). Its description in RNAcentral is "long non-coding RNA (GRAI_LNC007627)". Lineage: Eukaryota; Viridiplantae; Streptophyta; Magnoliopsida; Malvales; Malvaceae. The record is from RNAcentral.
GUUGAAGAUACCUCAAUCCAUGAUUUCAACAUUGGAAUUUUUGAAAGUCCCUAGUAAUAGUAUGAAUUAUGAAAUUUCAAAAAAGCAUAUUCUUAUUUAUUGUUAAUUUCAAGGUAUUUUUAAUAGCUAUACUUACAUUUGUCUUUAGAAAAUAGAAAAUUCACUUUAAAUGUAUAAAAAUGAAUAAAGAAAACUCAUCUUCAUUUCUGACAGAAAAUAAGAAACAUGAAAAAAAAACUAAAAAAGAAAUACAUAUUUUCUUGAAAGACGCUUCAAAUGAAACAAAUAUGAAAAACAUAGUUGUAAGAGUGUUCAAUUACUUUAUCGAUCGGUCAACCAAAUCAAAUUAGUAUUAACUAAAUCAAAAUUAUCAUGAAAAAGUGAAAAAGUCAUAAUUUAGGGGUGGUUGAUGCAAUUAACUCAUUUCUAAUGGUGCUAAUACUUAAGUCUGCUAUGGGACAAAGUGAAAAAGUGGAAAGCAGAGUUAAAAUAUGACCCAAACACUCACCUUUUUCUAAGUCGUCUCCUAUCAUAGUUGCAAAAUAAAUGGAUAGCAGUAAACCAAAUCCUUUGCUACUAAACCAAGAAAACCCAGUUGUCUUAAGAGUUCAUAUUUGUGAAGGUUUCUUAACAUUUUAGUGCAACCUUGAUUUUUAUUUUUAUUUAUUUCCUUUCCCUUAAAGAGAAAAAAAGAUCUUCAAGUUUUUUUUCUUUUUUAUUCUUCAGUUUUGCUUACUUUCUUUUGCUCCCAAAAACCAAAAAAAAAUAUCCCUUCAAAUCCCAUUUGAUGGUUUUGAAGUAGCAACGAUCUUCUCAGCACCUAGUCUAGUUUGAUUUUGAAGUUCCCAAGUGAGGUCAAUGUAUUUAUGUAUGCUUAAUUUCUAUAUUUUCGGUUUUUUUAUAUAUAAAUUUGUUAUAUAUUUCUUCAUCUAAUAUUAUGUUUUUAUGUUUUUCUUGAACUAAAUCAGAGCAAAAUAGACUGUUUGGAUUUGCUCUUUUUUUCCACACUCAAAUUCUUGGAAUCAUUACUUCAUUUUGAAGGGGUAAGUGGGUAUGUUUCUUAUGUUUUCCAUCAUUAUAUGCAUAAUAUUAAAUGGAUACCAAGCAGUACCAACAUCAAUAAUUUAGAUCCCCAUUUUGUAUAAAAUUAUUAAAAAAAACUCACAAUUAUUUAUAAAUAGAAAAAUGUAUAUAAAAAUUCUAGAAAAAUAAAAUCUAUGUUGUUUCAUAACUAAAUUGGAUGAGAAAUAAAGAAAAUCACCAUUCAAUAACAUCCGAUAACAAAUUAAAAUCAAAACAAAACAAAACAAAAAAUGUUAGAUUAUUAUAUGUUUCCUGAAUAUUUCUCGAAACCAAAUUAGUAGUAUUAUCAAGCUGAGUUUCAUGCCCUUGAAGAGUAUCUAGAACUGAUAUUACAAAUACUUAUGAAAUUGACCUUGAUGCCAUAUUUUUAGUCAAAAGAAUACAAAAUAUACCAUAAUUUUUCUUUUCCAAACUCAAUUCGAAAUUUCAUUACAUUUUAAUUGUUUUCAGAAUUUUAUCUUUUCUUAUAAAGUAAAAGCUGUCAAGUAAUGAAGAUGUAAAAAACAAAUGAAUUUGCUUAAUAUUUUUUCUGUGUUUGUUUUUAAAGAAUGAGUAUUGAAGUAAUAGAUAAUAUAGAGAAAUUUUCUUCCUUUUUUCUAUGUCAGGACUCGGGUCUUUAAAGUUCCUCAAUUAUUUUCUUCCUUCUUUUCAGAAUUAGAUUUUCUCUUUUUGCUUGAAUCUUGAUUUUAUAGUCAAUUUGGUGGGUUAGGUUUCUUGAAGCUUUAAGGUUGUAUGGUCUUGACUAGCGCCAAAUAAAAGGUAAAUGCACAAUGAGUUGAAUUGAUUUACUUAUCUUUACCAUGUUCACUAUGGUUUGAAUAUUUUAAGUUACUCUUAUUUUCAUGCAGAGUUUUUAUAUUUUUCUUUUCAAACUCAAUUCAAAAUUCCAUUACAUUUUAUUUUUUUUUUCAAAACCCAAAUUGUAAAAUGAAAAUAUAUUCAAAAAUUUAUCUUUUCUUAUAAUGUAAAAGCUAUGUCAAGUAAUUGAUGAGGUAAAAAAGUAUAGAACAAAUAAAUUUGCUUCAUAGUUUUUUCUAUAUGUUUGUUUUUAAAAUAAUGAGUAUUGAAUAUUUCAAUAUAGAUAAUAUAGAGAAAUUUUGUAGGGUUUAAAAAUAAUUAUCCCUAAUUUUCUCACUUUAUUUAUUUUUAAAAUUUUUAUUUUACUUUUAUUUAUUUUUUAAUUUUAUAAUGUUCUAAAAUUUUAAAAAUAAUUUCAACUUUUUAUCAUUUUAUAUAUUAUCAAAAUGAAAUUCACCGAAAGUAUAAAAAUUUAGGACUAAAAUUUUUAUUAAAUCAUUUAAAAAGUUCCACUUAAUAGUUGAGUGACAAAAAAAUAAUAAUUUCAAAAACAUUAGUGGUGAAAUUGUAAUUGUUUUUAAUUGAGUGAUUAAAACAAAAAUUAGUAAUAGUUUAAUGACUAAUAAUGUAGCUUUUUUUUUUUGGGUACAACGAUAACUCGAAAUUUGGUUAUUCCUAAAAAGGGUGAACAUCCGAUCAUAUUUAUUCACAUAUUACAAACAUCCAUAUGCAAGCUCAUCUUUUUAUCUUUUAUAUAUUAUUUCGAUUGAUACUUAAAUUAUUUGUACGAAAAAAAAAAUCAAAAUGAAAUGCAACAUGUUCUGAACUUUUAUUAAAGCUCAUCUUUUUGUUGAAGAUACCCCAAUCCAUGAUUUCAACAUUGGAAUUUUUGAAAGUCCCUAGUAAUAGUAUGAAUUAUGAAAUUUCAAAAAACCAUAUUCUUAUUUAUUGUUAAUUUCAAGCUAAUUUUAAUAGCUAUACUUACAUUUGUCUUUAAAAAAUAGAAAAUUCACUUUAAAUGUAUAAAAAUGAAUAAAGAAAACUCAUCUUCAUUUCUGACAGCAAAUAAGAAAUAUGAAAAAAAAAAACUAAAAAAGAGAUACAUAUUUUCUUGAUAGACGCUUCAAAUGAAACAAAUAUGAAAAACAUAGUUGUAGGAGUGUUCAAUUGCUUAAUCGAUCCGUUAACCAAAUCGAAUUAGUAUUAACUGAAUUAGUAUUAACUAAAUCGAAAUUAUCAUGAAAAAACUCAAACUUAUAAAUCCCUAUCCCCAAAAAAAAAAAAUUGAAGCAUCCAGAAAAUACAUCAAGCAUUGAACUAAAAAAGAACAUAUCACUAUUCAUAGUUGUAGAGGAGGAUUAGACACUGCUGCUAACGAUGGGUGAAGAAAUAUGCCAACCAAAGACAUAUUGUUGUGUCUGGUGGGGUUAUUCAACCUAUACCAAAAACAUGUUAUUUCAACAUUACAAUGAAAAUUUUGAUACAGUGAUAAUAUAAUGAAAUAAAUUUUAUCAUGUUAUGAAUAAGAAUUCAUAAGGGGAAUUUCUAUUGCAUUCUAUAUUUUUCAUAAUCUUUACAGGUAGUAUACUCCACUAUAUAUAGAAAGAUUAGACUCUUCAUAUUCUAAUACAUAAAUAAGAAAAAGGGGUUAUAAGGAGAUGAAAGUUUAAAAAUUAAAGAAAAUGAAAGAUUAAAGUCAAGAGAGAUGAAAGGUAAAAGGUUGAACAUCCACUUAAUAAUAUUAAUAAUAAAUAUUUUAAAUGUAGCAAAAGUCAUAAAAAUAAUAGAAACACCGCUCCAAAUGAACCAAUUCCACUCAAGCAAUUACUAAAACUUCAAGGAAAACAUGAGAGCAUAGAUUAAUUAUUUUUUAAUAAGUUAAUUGCACCAAAUAUUUUUAAAUUAUUACCUGCAUUCUAAAUUAAUUCACUUUCGAAAUAUUGUGAGUAAUUGCUCACUUUCGAAAUUGGUAGGGAUUAAAUUGUUUCGAUUUUUUUAAAGAGACCAAUUUACUGAAUAUCAAAAUUGAGAGGGACUAGAGAGGUCAUUUUAUCUAGUUUAGUAAUUAAAUGACAUGUUAAAUCUUAUGUGAUAUAAUUUAAAAUGACAAUUUUAAAAAUUGUGGAAAUAUUUGUUUUAAAAAUCUUGGUUUUGAAGUUUUUACAAAAUUUUUAUUGUUCAUUUUUUUUAAAAUUUCAAUUUUAUUUAAUUUUAGUUUCUUUAAAAUUUUCAUUUUAAAAUUAGCUAGAUAAUGAUUUUAAUAAUAAAUGGCCUGAUUAAUAUAACACCAACAGUUUAGAAAUGUAAUUAGAUAAGUUUGCAGUUUGAAAAUAGAUUUAAAAUAAUGGUCAUAAUUUAGGGGUGUUUGUUGCAAUUAACUCAUUUCUAAUGGUGCUAAUAAUUAAGUCUGCUAUAGGACAAAGUGAAAUAGUGGAAAGCAGAGUUAAAAUAUGACCCAAAGAUAUGGAUGGGGCCAUUACCAACAUCAAUAAUUUAGAUCCCGAUUUUGUAUAAAAUUAUUUAAAAAAAAACUCACAAUUAUUUAUAAAUAGAAAAAUGUAUACAAAAAUUCUAAAAAGUAAAAUCUUGAAUAUGUUGUUUCAUAACUAAAUUGUAUGAGAAAUAAAGAAAAUCAGCAUUUAAUAACACCCGAUAACAAAUUAAAAUCAAAACAAAACAAAACAAGUUAGAUUAUUAUAUGUCUCCUGAAUAUUUCUCGAAACUAAAUUAGUAGUGAGUUUCAUGCCCUUGAACAACAUCUAGAACUGAUAUUACAAAUACUUAUGAAAUUAACCUUGAUGCCAUAUUUUUAGUUAAAAGAGUACAAAAUAUAGCAUGAUUUUUCUUUUCAAACUCAAUUCAAAAUUUCAUUACAUUUUAAUUUUUUUUUUCAAAACCCAAAUUGUAAAAUGAAAAUAUAUUCAAAAAUUUAUCUUUUCUUAUAAUGUAAAAGCUAUGUCAAGUAAUUGAUGAGGUAAAAAAGCAUAGAACAAAUAAAUUUGCUUCAUAGUUUUUUCUAUGUUUGUUUUCAAAACAAUGAGUAUUGAAUAUUUCAAUAUAGAUAAUAUAGAGAAAUUUUGUAGGGUUUAAAAAUAAUUAUCCCUAAUUUUCUCACUUUAUUUAUUUUUAAAAUUUUUAUUUUACUUUUAUUUAUUUUUUAAUUUUAUAAUGUUCUAAAAUUUUAAAAAUAAUUUCAACUUUUUAUCAUUUUAUAUAUUAUCAAAAUGAAAUUCACCGAAAGUAUAAAAAUUUAGAACUAAAAUUUUUAUUAAAUCAUUUAAAAAGUUCCACUUAACAGUUGAGUGACAAAAAAAUAAUAAUUUCAAAAACAUUAGUGGUGAAAUUGUAAUUGUUUUUAAUUGAGUGAUUAAAACAAAAAUUAGCAAUAGUUUAAUGACUAAUAAUGUAGUUUUUUUUUUGGGUACAACGAUAACUCGGAAUUUGGUUAUUCCUAAAAAGGGUGAACAUCCGAUCAUAUUUAUUCACUUAUUACAAACAUCCAUAUGCAAGCAAUUCUCCCGAAUUAAAAUCAAAUUUUAAUAUCAACAACUUCAACAACUCAUAAAUAGGAAGAUAAUAUGUUUCGGUACACUUAAAACCACAUCCUUCUAUAUUGACAGCAAUUAUUAUGACAAUGAAGCUAAGACUUUAUUCACAAUACCUAUAUAUUUUUGUUAUACCUAAUUAAAGUCAUUUACCAGUAUAUUAGACAUUCUUAUACCCUACUUUCCCAUACUUUCCCAUUAUUAUCGUGAUGAUGAUGAUGUAACACCCCCUAACCCCAAACCGUCACCGGAACAGGGUUAUAGAGUAUUACCAGACAUAUCGGAUAACUUAUAACUAAUUCACAAAUAAAUAACAGACAUAGCAUACUUUAAUCAAAUAUGUCAUAUUAGUUCCAUUUCAUACUUAUAAUCAAUUUAAAACAUCGUUCUAAAACCACAAUCACAAAACUCUUAUACUUAACCUAUAUAUCACUUAGGUACAUGCCACAUUAUCAAAACAAAAGUACAUCACCAAAAUUUCUCUGAGGUCGGGAUUACUCUGGAUGCUGGACCGAGCACUGGCUUCCUACUAACCUGCGCACGGAAACAACCGUAUUGUCACUUUCGAACUGGNNNNNNNNNNNNNNNNNNNNNNNNNNNNNNNNNNNNNNNNNNNNNNNNNNNNNNNNNNNNNNNNNNNNNNNNNNNNNNNNNNNNNNNNNNNNNNNNNNNNAACUUUGAGAUAAAUCUGACGCGAUCUGCUCCACUACAACUUUAGAGAGAUGAGAUCUGCGGUUUUACUCCAUACCAUUACAACUUCAAGGAGAUAGGAAUUCUGGCUUCAAUGUACUCCACUGUAACCUCAAGGAGGUAAAAUCUGCCAUCCUCGAUCUACUCCACUACCGUCUAGGGAGAUAAGUUUUAUUAUCUUUAAUCUAUUCCACUGGUGCCCAGUGAGAUAGAAUUACUGGCUUCAAUAUACUCUAUUGUAACCUCAGGGAGGUAAAAUCCGCCAUCCUUGAUCUGCUUCAUUACUGCUUAGGGAGAUAAGAUCUGUUAUCUUUGAUCUACUUCACGCCAAUACAUGAAGACAAGAUCUGCUUUCUUCGAUCUGCUUCGCCACCAGUAUGGGAAGACAAGAUCUGGUAUCUUCGAUCUACUUCACGCCAAUACAUGAAGACAAGAUCUGCUUUCUUCGAUCUAUUUCACCACCAGUAUGGGAAGACAAGAUCUGCUAUCUUUGAUCUACUUCACUCCAAUACAUGAAGAUAAGAUCUGUUUUCUUCGAUCUACUUUGCCACCAGUAUGGGAAGACAAGAUCUACUAUCUUUGAUCUACUUCACGCCAAUACAUGAAGACAAGAUAUGUUUUCUUUGACCUACUUCGCCACCAGUAUGGGAAGACAAGAUCUGCUAUCUUUGAUCUACUUCACGCCAAUACAUGAAGACAAGAUCUGCUAUCUUUGAUCUACUUCACACCAAUACAUGAAGACAAGAUCCGUUUUCUUUGAUCUACUUCACGCCAAUACAUGAAGACAAGAUCUGCUAUCUUUGAUCUACCUCACGCCAAUUCAUAAAAAUAAGAUCUGCUGCUUUUCAACCUGCUCCACUGUUGCUCAAGGAGAUAAGGCUUUAUGAUUUCACCGAUCUGUUCUCUGUGGAACAUGGCCUGUAUCAUUCAAUUUAUGAACCUAAUUAUGUCUAGUGAAUAGGAUGUCAUGAUCAAAUGAAUCAAAUACUCCUAACUGGACAUGUAUGAAUGACAUUUGAAUGAAUGCAAAAUGUCAUUUUUCGAGAAUGAUCCCUCCUUAUCACUUAGGUUAUCAUUACUCAAAGUUUAUCAAAGUUUUAUUGCCAAUGUGCUAUAACGCCUCUUACUCGGCUGACGUCUCCAAAGAAACACUUGACCAGAUUGCCCCCACUGUAAACCUCCAAGUUUGAUCCACUAGGAUGCAAAAUUUACAUUAUCUUUCUCCCGUUGUAACCCAAGAGUAAAAGAUUUGGCCUUUUCUCAAUCCUCUGUUAUCACAAUUUAAGGAUAAAGGAUGUGAAACUUUUUGGUCUCUUACACCAUUCUCAGGGUGUCACACAAAAUGCUCAUGAAAAAAUGAAGAAUUUUCCUCUCCAAGAACAGCUUCUUCUUAUUAUUCGAUGAUCAUUGCUUGCUUGUUCAUUGAAGCUUUAUCACCAACACGGCAUCUUGCCAUUUUGUUUAAUCAAUACUUUAGACAAGAAAAUUCAAAGGGAUAGUCUUAAUUUAGACUCUUCUUUAUCAAAUUUCCAACCUUUGAACCUGGUACGUUUUAGAUAAUAGUUAUGUUUGAGGUUCCUAUAUUAUUUAGAAGCUUCUAGACUAAUAUGCAAAACUUCCCUUGUGAAGGUUUUAUUGGUCCAUUAAUUAUUAUUCUAAUGCAACACACUUGCAAAGAGAACAAAAUGAUGGAUAAAAUUGAAUUGGUUCUGAGCAUAGCUCGAAAUGAAAUAAAUUAUCAAAGAUAAUAAAGAUGGAUAACAAAGACAUUGAUUCAGGAAUGCGUAUUUUUGGAAAUAAAUGAAGCGUUCCAAGUAUAACAAAGUAUAAGGAUUAGGUACCUCAGAUAUCGCAGCUUGAACUUCUCUGUACAGACUUUCUGAAGACCAUUCUGAGUUUAACACGUGUUUAGGAGAUCGAUACCCCAGGAUGUCGCCUACACUUUCCUAUUGAUUCAGGUAUAGAAAGAUCAUUGCAUGCCCCAUUCUGGUCAUAUUUGAGCUGCUCUGAUAACUUCAAGCGCCAUUUUGAUCAACAUUUGAGCCGCCAUUUUCGGGUUUUCAACUCAAAUCCCCUUUGGUCUAAGGUGCCAUUUGCGGGUUUUCACCUUGGCCUCUCCAUUUCUUUUUCUCUUCUCUUUUUUGACUCAAGGCUCCCUUUGUAGGGUUUCACCCUGGGUUUUUUUUUAAGCGGAGUAUUUCCUGACUGAAUCCGAGUUUGCAGGACUUUGCAAGUUUAUUAUCUAUCUCCCUCAAAAUCAAAGCUCAUUUAGAAAAGACCUUCUCUAUAACACAAGGUUCUUCCCAAUUUGGCAUUCGUUAUAUUUUUUGUAGAGUGAGGAUCUUCUUCGGCAUUAGGUCACCAUCGUGGAAUUCUCUUGGACAAACCUUUUACUAUAGGCUCGCAUAAUUCAUUUCUUGGUACAUCUGACCCUGAUGAAUAGUUUCUAGCCUUUUUCUUUAACUAGGUUCAACUAAUUGUACCGGGAUUGGAUUUUCAUCCUACUUCAACUCAGCCAAAACUUAAAGAGAAAGAAUUUCAACUUCAAUGAAAAUCGUGAUAAACUGGAAAGAGUGGCAUUGCCCCGCUAGAGUUUUCAUUGCACCAUUCAUGAUAUUCACCUUGAACAUACUGUAAAAUUUUGAUAUCGUGCUAUUGUUCAGAUUGCAAUGACAUCACUUAAAACGGGCACAUCCUGGUAUGACCAUGCGAAGCCAUCUUUGAAUGCUUGAAGUAACUCAACAUCGUUUUGCUUUGUUUUUUCGGUCAUGCAUGUUCCCUCAAGGUCACAACCUCUAUUGUCUCAUUUAUUUCUCUUAUUGCUUUACCAUCAUCAACAAGUCAGGAGAUAAGCUACAAUUUAUGACAUCUUCAAAGUCAUAAGAUCCCUCUAAAUACAUGGCUCACUCAAAAAGGGAUUUUGAGUCCGUAGUAGCGUCACUCAUGUCAUUGAUAUCUAGGAACCCAUAGUAAAUACCAAAAAAUGUACAAAAGAAUGUAUGAAUAAUAUGAAUGAAUGAACAAAUGGUUUGGUAGAAAAAAAAUUCAUAAGAAUGAAAGAAGUGCAAAGAAUGAAAGAACAUUUACUCCAAGAUGAUUGCAAUAAUGUAUUUCAUUAAAAUAAUCAUGUUCGGACAUGAGCCAAUUUCACAAAGGCAUUCCUAUUGCUUUUAGGCUAAAAGCAACAAGCGUGUUCUGAAUAUUACUCUAACAGACCCUAAAUACUGUAGGGGUUUCCUCUGCAGUCCCAUUAUUUAUAACACCUCCCAGGCGAAUAUCUAACCAGAGCCCUUUUAAUUAUGUCUGCACAUAUGGCGUCGAUGUGAAAAUCUCACCACUUCCAUACAUUGUCCUCCCCCAUUAUCACUCGUGAUUAGGUAGCGGAUUUUCUGCACUAGACGAGUCACCAAACUUGACAAUACCCAUGUCGAUGAGUCUUUCAACUUGCUUCUUGAAGGUAGUGCAGUUCUCAAUCGAGUGUCCCAUAAUUUCUGCGUGGUAUUCACAUUGUGCAUUCGCAUCAUACCAUUUGGGAUACGGAGGUUGUAGAGGCUUCACAGGAAAAGGAGAAACAACACGUGCAUCAAACAAAUUCUAAUACAGUUCUCUAUAUGACACUGGAACUGGCGUAAAUUGGGGCCUCUCUGUGUUUUGUCCUGUACCAACUUCCUGUCUCAAUGGACCUUGUUGGUUAGCAGCCAUCUUUCUUGGCUGACUCACAGUAAAUGAUUUAAAGUAACCCGUGUUGUUCACCUCAUCUUCUCUUCUCCUUGAGACUGACCUCUUGUUACUCUCCUCUGCAUCAAUUUUCCCGCUUCUUAUAGCAUUUUCAAUCAUUUCACCAUUCAUAACUAUGUCAGAAAAAUUUUUGUGGCACUUCCUAACAUAUGUGAUGAACGGGGCUUUCAAUGUAUUUAUAAAAAGCAUCGUCAUUUCUUUCUCUAAGAGCAGUGGUUGAACUUGGACUGCGUCUUCCCUCCAUCUUUGUGUGUACUGCCUAAAGCUUUCGCUUGACUUCUUCUCCAUGUUUUGAAGGGUAAUUCUAUCAGGAGCCAUAUCUGUCACAUGACUAUACUGUUUCAUGAAUGCUUGUGCCAAGUCCUUCCAUGAACCAAUUGUGGUGCAGCUCAGUUGAUUGUACCACUUAGAUGCUGCCUCUGCUAGGCUAUCUUGGAAACAGUGUAUUAAUAGCUGGUCAUUAUUAACGUAUCCAGCCAUUCGCCUGUAGAACAUGGUGAUAUGAGCCUCUGGGCAAGUCGUCCCAUUGUACUUCUCGAUUUCCGGCAUCUUAAACUUAUGAGAGAGUACCAAAUCAGGAACUAAGUUCAGCUCUUUAGCGUCAAUCCCACGACAGCUUUCAGUGACUUCCAUUGCCCUGAAUUUCUCCUCGAGCCAUUUGCACAUUUCCUCUAGCUAUUUUGGUAACUCCUCCUUUAUUCUUUCCCUCUUGGCCACUUCAACAAAGUCAGGAAUGGUAGAGUUCACAGGGUUGUUUUCGGGAUUAGAACCCGAUCCAGCUUGAAAGUUCGAAAUACCAGCCCGAAACUGCUUAAGCAUGAUGGUGACAGUAGACUUACACGAGUAUUCAGCUUGAGUUCGCAUAUGUGGAGGGGUGAAACCUGGUGGAUAGAGAGGUUCAUCAUCAUUUCCCUCAUCGACAUUUGCCAUGGGGCCCUUUCCUUUAUCACUUCCCUUAGUUAUCAGUUGGGCUAACUUUGCCACUAUAUCUUCGUGGGAUUCUCACAUCUUCUCAGACAUCUCUUGUUUCAUCUUGUCUAACCGCUCCUGCACCUGUAGCUGAAGUCGGUCCUGCAUCUUCUUUUGACACUGUUCGAGUUUUUCCAAUCUCUGAUCCAUGUCUUUAAUCUUUGCUUGAGUGUUGUAACAAUGUUUGGUUGAUUGGUUGGUUUCCAGGUUAACUGAGCAGUGAUUUUAAUUAAUUAGGAUCAUUUAAAGGUGUCUAAUGCACAUGAUGUAAUGAAAUGCAAAUGCAUGAAAUGAAUGUAAAAAAAAACGUUGAUUCAGGUUCAAUUUUUUUACUAGAAAACUUCUUUAGAAAGUAAAUCUCUUUACACAAAGUGGAUAUAUAUAUACGGCUUCGUCCUCGAGCUCCAAGCGAAGACAACGACCAUUAAUAUGCAUCUUGCGAAUCUUCUAAUAAGCAUCUACUAGCUCUUUUUUACUUCAUCCAGGUUGCAACUCCUUGAUCCUAUGCUUGUGAGCUUCUUUAAAAAGGUUGGGAUGUUUGACGACUCUUGAAUAAUCUUUGCUAAUCUUGAAUCAACGCAGCAAAGUCGUAUACUCCUAUUGUUACACUUCUUGCAUCACGCUUUCUUGGACUAUAUUCGGAGAACCGUAUUAUCUUCCACUUUAUCAAGAAACCCGUUUUCCAUGACAAGCUCUCUAUUUAGCAACCGAACAUGAAUCAACACCUCUUUUCUAUGAUGAAAUGCAAUGCAGUCAAAAUGUCAUGCAACCAAAUCAAAACAUAACAAGUUAGUAUCAGGUAUAAACAUUAUAUCCAAUACAAUCAAGAAAUAAUAAAAACUCCUAGUCAGGAAUCUACUAAGGUUUAGAGUACUUCUACCUAGGGUAAGUUCCUAAAGCUCACUAUAUGAGGUUUAGUUUCUAGAGUAAGGGUACCCGAACCAGCAAAUUCCUCGAUCCUCACCCAUUAUAGGCUCAUGUGGAUCGAGUUCAGUUCAGGGGGAUGCAUUUUCCUAUGGCUGCACGGAGAUGAAAAUCUCACGAAGACAUAGGUACAGAUAUAUCCCGGAAGCGGUCCACUACCCUGCACGGAGGUGAAAACCUCACGAAGGACUAGUUUCUCGCUCCCACUUAAGGGGGUAACACUGACCAUGCAAUGCAAAAUGCAAAUACAGAUCACCCAACUUGAUUCAAUCAUGCAAAUGAUGAAAAUCAAUCAAUGCGAAAGGAAAUCAUGAUUUUUAAAAAACUUUUGACUUUCGAUAAAAAAGACAAAGCAUAAUCAAUUCAUGGCUCGACUCUCAAAUGUCCUCAGCGGAGUCGCCAAGCUGUCGAAACCGCUUUUUUGGAAACAAAAAAAUUUUAGUUUCGUCUUAAAAAUAAAAACUGGAGUCGCCACUGGUCCUUUAUUAAGGUGUGAUCGGCCCACCUUAAAAAUAAUUUUGGUCUGCGAAAUUUGAGAAAACAGGUUUAAUGGUGGUGGCCCCCCUCAUUUUGGGCAUAUGUUUCAGCACUUAUCCAUUUUCAGACAAGGAAAUUAUUUAAUAAAGAAAAAGAAAAAUGGUGCACAUGGGAGCAUUUUCAAGCCCACCUUUGAGUUAUGAAAGACUGGGGUAGAUGGAAGUAAUUAACGGGCAAAGUGGGGUUAAGAAGGGUAAUUAAGAAAUGGUGCAGUGGAUGGAGUUAGAAAGAAGAGGAUACUCACGGGCAAGAGACAGGGGGUUUGGUUUUCUCAGCAAAAACGCGUGUGAAGAUGUGGAAUUGUCAAGCUUUUUGAAUUAUUUGUCCCCAAAAAAUAUAGAUGUGAAGAAAACACAUGCACCUUGUCGAAACCGUUUUUUUAGAAACAAAAAAAUUUUAGUUUCGUCUUAAAAAUAAAAACUGGAGUCGCCACCGAUCCUUUAUUAAGGUGUGCGGCCCACCUUAAAAAUAAUUUUGGUCUGCGAAAUUUGAGAAAACAGGUUCGGGAGUUAGUUACGCACGAGGAAGGAUUAGCACCCUCGUAACGCCCAAAAUUGGUACCAAAUUGAUUUUUUUAAUGCCUUGGUNNNNNNNNNNNNNNNNNNNNNNNNNNNNNNNNNNNNNNNNNNNNNNNNNNNNNNNNNNNNNNNNNNNNNNNNNNNNNNNNNNNNNNNNNNNNNNNNNNNNCAUGGGAGCAUUUUCAAGCCCACCUUUGAGUUAUGAAAGACUGGGGUAGAUGGAAGUAAUUAACGGGCAAAGUGGGGUUAAGAAGGGUAAUUAAGAAAUGGUGCAGUGGAUGGAGUUAGAAAGAAGAGGAUACUCACGGGCAAGAGACAGGGGGUUUGGUUUUCUCAGCAAAAACGCGUGUGAAGAUGUGGAAUUGUCAAGCUUUUUGAAUUAUUUGUCCCCCAAAAAAUAUAGAUGUGAAGAAAACACAUGCACCUUGUCGAAACCGUUUUUUUAGAAACAAAAAAAUUUUAGUUUCGUCUUAAAAAUAAAAACUGGAGUCGCCACCGAUCCUUUAUUAAGGUGUGCGGCCCACCUUAAAAAUAAUUUUGGUCUGCGAAAUUUGAGAAAACAGGUUCGGGAGUUAGUUACGCACGAGGAAGGAUUAGCACCCUCGUAACGCCCAAAAUUGGUACCAAAUUGAUUUUUUUAAUGCCUUGGUGUCGAAAAUUUGAAAAGAUUUUAAAAUGAAACUUUUUAUUUCAUGAAUGAAUCAAAAUAAUAAGACAUUCUUAUUUCAAAGAAAUGAAACACCACACCCAGUGAGUUAGGGCACAAUGUUUUUAAAUUUUCAAAAUACCCGAAUAUUGCCUUUUGCUUUUGAAAAUUCUUAUUUCGAGAAAUCAAAAUAUAAGGACCAGUAAGUUAGGACCCAACAUUUUGAAUCCCCGAGAAUAAGCUUUUAUUUAAAAUUUGUGAAUUUAAUGCAAAAUGAAUACUUAGCGUUCUAAAUUCAUCGAAGAAUAAUCGCAAUCCAGUAAGUUAGGACACGGUCUUUCUUGAGAAUCAUGAACGCCAAAUACUUUGAAAAUUUAUAAAAUAUGAUGAUUUCAAUGUUUUGACAAAACCAAAAUAUGUCUUCUUUAAAAGCAAGAUAAAAUGUUAAUAAACAACAUGGAACACGUACUUUAAUUUAAAUUAUAAAUAUGCAUGUAUUUACAAAAUAUAUAUACAAAUACAAUACACAAGUAAAUUUGAAAAUAUGUGCAUGCGUAUGUUUAACACACAUAUACAAGUAUACAUAUAAAAAAACAUGUAUAGCAGAACUUAUAAUAAUCUCUAAAAAUAUGUACGUAUAUUUCAUAAAACAUGUAUAUGUACAAAAAAUAGGAAAAAUACAUAUGUAUUGUAAAAUAUAUAUAUUUAUUUAUUUAUAAAAACUAUGAAAACAAAAAAAAACAAAUAUAUAAAUUAUGCACGUAUUAAAAUAUGUAUAUGUAUGUGUACAUAUAUGAAUGCAAAUAACUAGAAGAACAAACUAAUAUAUGAAAAAAAAGAUAGGUAUAAAAGUAUGUGGAUAUGUAUGCAUUUUAAAAAAAUAAAAGAAAUGUAUAAGUAUAUAUAUAUAUAUAAUGUAAAAUAUAUGAGUAAAAAAAUAAAAAAAUAAAAGACGUAUGUAAAAUGCAUGCAUUUUAAGAAUAUAUAUAUAUUAUAUAAAGAAUUAUGCAUAUAUGUACUAUAUAUAAAAAAAUCGUAUAUGAAUAUAGAAAUAGUAAUAAAUGAUAAUAAAUAAUAUAGUAAUAAUUUUAAAAAUAAAAAUUUUAAAAAACGAAUUGCAACAAAAACAAAAUAGCCAAAAAAUGAAAUUAAAAUAGAACAUGGACCAAUUUGCAACACACGCAUUAUAUGAGGGGCCCAAAUGGAAACAAUCCGCCUCCUUAAAAUGCUGCGCUGCAAUGGGGACCGAUUUGAAAUGAGGAAAAAACAUUCGGGCCAAAUUAAAAAGAGAUAACUGGCUUAAUAAAACAUGGCGCAAAGGGGAAGGACUUAUUUCGAAAUUAUCCCAUUUAAGGUUGAUAUGCGUGAACCCCCAAAUAAACAGCGCCAUCCUUGCUCUGCUCUGUUUUAAGUUUAAAAAAAACAAAUUUAGGGAAAUAUUUUGCCUUUCCCUUUGAAGCAGAAACUGCUUCUUUUAGGGUUUCCUUAACCCUUUGGCCGCCGUUCAGCCCACGGCCUUCGUCGACGGAGAAGACGCCGGCCCGUCGACUCCGAUGACCAGGUAAGUUUCUUCCUCCUUUCUUUUUAUUUUCAAUGAAAAAUAAAACAAUAAAAAAGGCUAAAAGAAAAAAAAACAAAAUGAAACUCAAAAUGCUGAGAAAAUGAAAAAACACCUUUUGUAUUCGGAAAAGAAAAUUUGUUUGUUGAUAUUAAAUCUUUUUUAUUGAUUCUUCCCAAAAAUCUCCCCUUUUUACAGAUUUAAAUCACCCUUAUAUAGCCGAAAAUUAGAGAGGAAAAUAAUCAAAAAUCGAAUCUAUAUCUUUUCUGUUAUUUCCCCUUAUUUUCCUAUUAUUUUAUUGUUUCGUGGUUGUUUAUUGUUUGUUGCAGGAGCCAACUGGAGGAGAACGUGUGGGGAAGGCGCGCAAAGGGCGGCGAUGAACGUGGCUGCUGUUGAGGAUGGCGGCUGGUGGUUUUUUCUACUUAGGGCUUCUGUUAUUUUUGUUUUUGGGCUAGGUUUAGUUUAUUGGGUUUGGGCCCAGGCAUAUUUGGGACUAUUACACACCUCAUGAAAAAUGUCAAAUAUUAUUUGAUUGGCUGGAAGGACGCGGAUUGGCAAGGACCACUUCACCCAUAUCUUCAUACUUGCUUGGUUGAUCAAUGGUUAAAAGGAGAGGACGACCCUGAAAUUCAGAAAAGAAUCGGUUCCCUUCCCCUUUCCCCUGCAAUUCCUAUUGUUUUGUUUUCUUGAUUUCCAAAUCCUUGUAGUAAUAAAUGAAAAAAAGAAGAUCCACACAGACAAUACCCUGUACAAUAUCUACUUUGCUUUUAAGCGCGUUCUAUCUUCGUCCUUAAUAACUCUUAUUUAUUCACAGUUUAAACUCUCAGAUUCUGGUUCGAUUUCAGUAUCAUCCUUAGUCCAUUUAAUUUAUUUAUUAUUUUAGAAACUCUUUUAUUAUUAUUUGUUUUAAGUUUUUUUAUUUAUCAUUUAUUGUAAACUGUUUUACAUGCUAUUUAUUUAAUUCUUUUAAUAUGUUAUUCAUUUUAAACCAUUAUAUGUACAUAAUCUUUUAAAUUCCUAUAUAUGUAUUUUUUUUAAAUGUUGUAUGUCUUUUAUUUAUUUGUUUUAAACUAUUAUUAUUCACUUUAAGUUUUUAUAUACUGUUUAUUUUGAAGCCUUUUAUUAUUUAUUUUUGAAUUGUUCUUGUAAAUUAUUUAUUUUAAAUUAUUAUUUGCUUUAAACUGUUUUGCAUAAUAUUUUGUUUUGUUUUCUUCGAUUGUUAAUGUUAGUAUUAAAAACGAUAUACAUUGUGUGAUUAUUGCCGUCAUGUGUACUAUAAUUAGCUUCUUCGUGUUUUCAUAUUAUUGUCUUUCAUCAAUGUAACAUUUUAUUCAUAAAUCGUUAUUUCAUGUUAUACAUUAUCAUUCCAUUUCAUUUCAUCACUUCGAAAGUUGCGUUCAAUUUUUAUAUACCCAUAAUAAACCGUUCUAUUUUAUCACAAAUAAAACAAAUGCACCUCGUUCAAGAAUUGUACUCGCUAUGAUUCAAAAAAAGGGAAAAGUUUUUUAAUAACGCAAUAUUUCGCGUUUUGGAGAUUCGAAAAAUUGUACCCUAACUUACGGGGUUUCAAUUUUCUCGUUAAAUCUAAAUAGCAAAAUAUCUUUUUAAAUUUCAAGAUAUACGAGAUUUCAAUAAAAAUUAAAGGCAAGCUUAUUCUCUAAGGUUCCAAAUAUCGUGUCCUAACUUACGGGACAUGACAUUUCGUUACCUCGAGACAAGUGGGUCUUUAACUCUCUUUUCAAUUUAUUCAAGCGUUUUUUUAUUAGCAUUAACAAAAAAAGGAUCGUAUUUUAAAAUAUUUUCAAAAUUUUAACUUUUGACAUUAAGACAUUAAUUAAUCAACUAGGUACCAAUUUUGGGCGUAUCGAGGGUGCUAAUCAUUCCUCGUGCGUAACCGACUCCAGAACCCAUUUUCUGGAUUUUGUAGACUAAAAAUUACCGUUUUAGUAUAUUUAAAAUUUUAUUAAAAUGAUUAAAUUAUAAGGUGAUCUGAUCACACCUAAAUAAAAAGGAUUGGUGGCGACUCCAUUUUCGUUUUUAAAUAAAAAGUUGACCCUUUUUUCAAAAAAAUGGUUUCGACAACCCUUAUGUCCGUUUUCGGAUCACAAGAAUUCUAUGAAUUAAAAAAAUAAUCCUACAUGGAGAUGAUAGUCCAUGGUCUAUUUCCUAAGAACCACAACAUUAACAAAGCAAACAAUUAGAUAACAAAUAUAUAAUAUCGCAUUCAUUCCUACAUAUAACACAAAAAUAUGUAUAAGAUCUAAAGAAUGUCACUUUCUAUGUAAUCAAAUCAUUCAAGAAGUGAAUUUUAUUUUGAUUAUCUGUUUAUACUUAUCGAUAGAGCAAAACCUGGUUCUGAUACUAAUUGUUCAAAAAUGAGUUUUUGAAAAUGCAGCAAAAAUCAAUUUAGGGAAAAGCCUAAGUUUAAAAAAAUUCUAAAAUAAGAAUUUAGUUGUGAUAUCUAAAGUAAUAAACACUUAAUAAAAAUUGUACCUUUUCGAUUCGUCUAUGAUGAAUGCUUCAUUGAGUAGUCUUUUCUAUUAUCCUCAAACUCACGUUUGCCGAGUCACAAUAACAUUAAACAAGUGCAACAACUAAACCAAUGCUGAUAGCACUUAAAGGCAAUGGUUGAAGCAAACAACAAUUGAAAAAAAAAUGAAAGAAUCGGUGUUGCAAAUUUUUAAGAUUAGCACAAUGGCCACAAGGUAAUUGACGGCUAUAAUAAAGGGUUGAUCGACAAAUGCACAGCAGGCUAAAACAACAAGAAAUUGAAGCUAAUCAGCACCCAAAUAACAGGCAACACAUUUAGAUGGCAAACAGUAGAAGGUUAAGCAACAAAAUUGAAGCAAAUUAAAUAGCAAGUCAGUAACAAAAGGAACCAGUAGCAGCUAAUUGGAAGUUGAUUGAUAAGUAUUUGGUAAAACAACGUUAUUUGACCAACAUGCAAAAUAGUACACAUGCAUACACCACUCACAAUUGAUUUGAAUCCCACACCUCAAUUACAAUCCAUAGAACAUUAACAAUUGACCGGAGCACCACUACAACUCGGAUUCGUCUCGAUUCCUUCUUAACGCUACACCGGUUUGAAGAUUUGCGUUAAUAGUCGAUCAACAAUAAUGAAUGCUCACUAACCAAGCUAAGAGGGUUCGGUCAAGGGGUGAGAAAUAAUGAUGACAAGGGCAACAAAAACUUCAAUGUGCGACUACAGGAGAAGGAGAAAUGGACAUCAAUGGAGAAUCAAAAAUGGCAGAAAAUUCUAAACAAAAUAUUGAUAUUAAAAAGGCAAGGAUUCAGCCAAAUAAAUUGGAGAAGUGAUAGGCAAAAGGGCAGCACAAAUAGAAAAUAAAACUUGUGUUUUAGGUUGCAAUAAUGGUGGAUUAUGAGAGAAAAUUGAAGAAUAAUGGAGAGGAAAAAUGAAGGGGACGACAAUAGCUUGAGAAAAAUAAAUAAAAUAGGCUAAACAUAAAAUAAAAUGCAAUUUAUACCGAGGUUAAAAAGGGCUUGGAAGGCAACAAGGUUUUGGGGAGCAAAAACAUUGAAAAAAUAAAAGUUUGCAAGGGAAGGGAAUCAAACUCAAGUCUUAAGGUCAAUUUCACUAACUCUUUACCAGUAUGCCAAUUACUUAUCCUUUUUAUAAAUGCUCAAACAAAACCUUAAAAAUUAGGGCAAGACAACUUUCAGUUCACUAACCCGAUUUCUUCCGACUCAAUU